AUACGUAGGGUGCAAGCGUUAAUCGGAAUUACUGGGCGUAAAGCGUGCGCAGGCGGUUUUUUAAGACAGAGGUGAAAUCCCCGGGCUCAACCUGGGAACUGCCUUUGUGACUGCGAAGCUAGAGUACGGCAGAGGGGGAUGGAAUUCCGCGUGUAGCGGUGAAAUGCGUAGAUAUGCGGAGGAACACCGAUGGCGAAGGCAAUCCCCUGGGCCUGUACUGACGCUCAUGCACGAAAGCGUGGGGAGCAAACAGGAUUAGAUACCCUGGUAGUCCACGCCCUAAACGAUGUCAACUGGUUGUUGGGUCUUCAUUGACUCAGUAACGAAGCUAACGCGUGAAGUUGACCGCCUGGGGAGUACGGCCGCAAGGUUGAAACUCAAAUGAAUUGGCGGGG
Molecule: ribosomal RNA, 395 nt
Filed under: uncultured bacterium
Lineage: Bacteria
Description: partial 16S ribosomal RNA
Rfam family: Bacterial small subunit ribosomal RNA
Source: RNAcentral